Molecule: ribosomal RNA, 460 nt
Filed under: uncultured bacterium
Lineage: Bacteria
Description: partial 16S ribosomal RNA
Rfam family: Bacterial small subunit ribosomal RNA
Source: RNAcentral
CCUACGGGAGGCAGCAGUGAGGAAUAUUGGUCAAUGGGAGAGAUCCUGAACCAGCCAAGCCGCGUGAGGGAAGACGGCCCUAUGGGUUGUAAACCUCUUUUGUCGGAGAACAAAACCCGGGACGUGUCCCGGACUUCGUGUAUCCGAAGAAAAAGCAUCGGCUAACUCCGUGCCAGCAGCCGCGGUAAUACGGAAGGUCCGGGGGUUAACCGGAUGUAUUGGGUUUAAAGGGAGAGUGGGCCGUAUGUCAAGGGGGCUGUGAAAUGUCCGGGUACAACCCGGGCCUUGAAGCGCGAACUGGCGUGCUUGAGUCCGCGGAAAGCAGGCGGAAUUCGUCGUGUAGCGGUGAAAUGCUUAGAUAUGACGAAGAACCCCGAUUGCGAAGGCAGCUUGCUGCAGCGCAACUGACGCUGAUGCUCGAAAGCGCGGGUAUCGAACAGGAUUAGAUACCCCGGUAGUC